Molecule: ribosomal RNA, 859 nt
Filed under: uncultured bacterium
Lineage: Bacteria
Description: bacterial SSU rRNA
Rfam family: Bacterial small subunit ribosomal RNA
Source: RNAcentral
CUCAGGACGAACGCUGGCGGCGUGCCUAACACAUGCAAGUCGAACGGGGUAGCAAUACCCAGUGGCGAACGGGUGCGUAACACGUGAGGAACAUGCCCUUCGGCGGGGGAUAGCCGGCCCAACGGCCGGGUAAUACCGCGUACGACCUUCGGGUGGCAUCACCUGGGGGUGAAAGCAGCAAUGCGCCGAUGGAGUGCCUCGCGGCCUAUCAGCUAGUUGGUGAGGUAAUGGCUCACCAAGGCGACGACGGGUAGCUGGUCUGAGAGGAUGAUCAGCCACAUUGGGACUGAGACACGGCCCAGACUCCUACGGGAGGCAGCAGUGGGGAAUCUUGCGCAAUGGCCGAAAGGCUGACGCAGCGACGCCGCGUGUGGGAUGAAGGUCUUCGGAUUGUAAACCACUGUCGGGAGGGACGAAGCUCUGACGGUACCUCCAAAGGAAGCACCGGCUAACUCUGUGCCAGCAGCCGCGGUAAUACAGAGGGUGCGAGCGUUGUCCGGAAUCACUGGGCGUAAAGGGCGCGUAGGCGGCCUGGUAAGUCGGGGGUGAAACGCUGCGGCUCAACCGCAGCACUGCCUUCGAGACUGUCAGGCUUGAGCACGGUAGAGGCUGGUGGAAUUCCCGGUGUAGCGGUGGAAUGCGUAGAGAUCGGGAAGAACAUCGGUGGCGAAGGCGGCCAGCUGGGCCGUUGCUGACGCUGAGGCGCAACAGCGUGGGGAGCAAACAGGAUUAGAUACCCUGGUAGUCCACGCCGUAAACGAUGGGUACUAGGCGUCGGGGGGAGCGACCCUCUCGGUGCCGUCGCUAACGCAGUAAGUACCCCGCCUGGGGAGUACGGUCGCAAGACUGAAACUUAAAG